CUCUAAUACUAUUUCAGAUUAUAUGUUUUACGGAACAUAUACAGUAAAGUAUUAGUAAUAAAGAGAUUUAUUCCUUCCUUAAAAAGGUAAAAAUGGAACAGUAAAAUUUAUGUUAGUAAUCAUUAGAUGAAUAUAUUUGU
Molecule: non-coding RNA, 140 nt
Filed under: human gut metagenome
Description: RT-14 RNA
Rfam family: RT-14 RNA
About the family: Cloacimonetes, Firmicutes, Proteobacteria. Nearby to self-splicing intron genes
Source: RNAcentral